GAUAUUAGUCGGUUAGAGUUGAGUGGUCCCCCUAGGGUUGAGUGGUCCCCACUGGGUUAUAGUAUUUAAUCCAAUGGUUAGAAAUAAUGAAAAGAGUUGAUCCAAAGGCUAAAAAACUGGUAGCAACAAUAGAAUUUUGCUACUAAUAGUAGCCCAGUUCAACUCUCUCUAUAUAUAUAUAUAUAUAUAUAUAUAUAUAGAACUAGGCUGGAAUACUAUUAAUAGCACCAAGCUAUUGGUGCUAUUAGCUUUUUAACCCUUGGAUUGAGAAAUAUACAGUUAGGAUAAUGUGGCCCCCCUGGGGUUGAGUGGGUGAUUGGUUAAAUAGUAUAAUCUAACGAAUAAAAAUAAUCAAAAAGUUAAAUCUAACGGUAGAAAACUCGAUAGCACCAAGCCCUUGGUGCUAUCGAUAGUAUCCCAAUCGGACUAUAUAUAUAUAUAGUUGAGCUAGAAUACUAUCAAAAGCAACAAGGGGGUGGUGCUUUUGAGUUUUUAACCAUU
This 501-nucleotide long non-coding RNA is filed under the name Ananas comosus (pineapple). RNAcentral's name for it is "long non-coding RNA (ACOM_LNC033093)". The record is from RNAcentral. Lineage: Eukaryota; Viridiplantae; Streptophyta; Magnoliopsida; Poales; Bromeliaceae.